This is a non-coding RNA of Bos taurus (domestic cattle), 73 nucleotides long. Lineage: Eukaryota; Metazoa; Chordata; Mammalia; Artiodactyla; Bovidae. The record is from Rfam.
UCCCUGGUGGUCCAGUGGCUAAGACUCAGGGCUCCCAAUGCAAAGGGCCCAGGUUUGAACCCUGGUCAGGGAA